GCCUGCGCUUGCGCUCUGGCACGGGGGUGGGGCUCAUACCCUCGCUGGCCACACCCCGCCACGCCCCCGAAAGAAUCCAGAGUGGGCAAGGAGUCUGCAGGCUCAGAUUCGGGGAGACAUACUCCUUUGUGUCCCCAAGAACCUAUCAAAUGUCACAUUCUCUUUGGAGCCUUCUGAGGCGCCAGUCAUGUUCAGUGCGCUGAGCGCCCCCCCCAUGACCAUGACCCCCAGAACCAUGUAUUUGCUAUUUCAUUGAACUAGAGGCGAUGAAAAGUUGACAGAAGGGAUCCCUUCUGUGUAGAAGCAAACUACAUGAAGGGAUUGUACAGGAAAAUAAUUCUGAUCUGCCCAGAGAGAAUGCACACUGCUAUUGUAUUGGCAGUCCGCAGGAAACCUUGACUUUACUGCUUCCUAGAGGAGGAUUCUGCCUUCAGCUCCACCUGAACCAGCUGAUUCUUCCUUCG
Long non-coding RNA from Mesocricetus auratus (golden hamster), 464 nucleotides. RefSeq lists it as uncharacterized. NCBI's taxonomy places the organism in Eukaryota, Metazoa, Chordata, Mammalia, Rodentia, Cricetidae. The transcript is spliced from 4 exons. The record is from RefSeq and is a predicted model, not a curated record.